UUUAAUAAAAUAUUAUAAUACCUGCUCAAUGAUAAAUUUAAAUAGCCGCAUUAGUGCUAAGGUAGCAUAAUAAUUAGUUUUUUAAUUGAGAAAUAGAAUGAAUGGUUUUAUAAAAUUAUUAUUUUUUAAAAUAAUUUAUUAAAAUUAAAUUUUGAAUGAAAAUUUUCAAGAAAAUUUUUUAGACGAGAAGACCCUAUGAAGUUAAGAAUUAAUAAAAUGGUUAUCUAUAAAAAACAAAUUCAUUUUUUGGGGAAAAACUUAAUUAUAUUAUUAAAAACGAUUUUUAAAAAAUUAUCCUCUAGGAACAAUAAAUUAACUCCUCUAGGGAUAACAGCAUUAUAUUUAUAAAAGAUCUUAUUGGAUUAAAUGUUUGUGACCUCGAUGUUGAAUUAAAUUUUUAUAUAUGUGCAGCAAUUUAUAUAAAAUAGUCUGUUCGACUAAAAAAUAU
This 448-nucleotide ribosomal RNA is filed under the name Calocalanus pavo. RNAcentral describes it as "partial 16S ribosomal RNA". The record is from RNAcentral. Lineage: Eukaryota; Metazoa; Arthropoda; Copepoda; Calanoida; Calocalanidae.